UGGCGGUAAGCUUGGUAACUUUUCUGGAAACACAUCCAAAAAUUCAUAUACAGUCAGAAUCGUCUCUAAUUUAAUUUUUGAAACUCUAGAAUCAAAUAUGUAAGCUAGAUACGCUUCACCGCCCUUUCUAACAUAUUUAUGUGCCGUCAUAGCUGAAAUCACAUUAGCUGUACCUUUACUUCUAUCAGAUUCAACUUGAAUUACUU
This 206-nucleotide long non-coding RNA is filed under the name Gossypium barbadense (sea-island cotton). RNAcentral's name for it is "long non-coding RNA (GBAR_LNC007356)". Lineage: Eukaryota; Viridiplantae; Streptophyta; Magnoliopsida; Malvales; Malvaceae. The record is from RNAcentral.